Molecule: long non-coding RNA, 447 nt
Filed under: Rattus norvegicus (Norway rat)
Lineage: Eukaryota; Metazoa; Chordata; Mammalia; Rodentia; Muridae
Description: long non-coding RNA NONRATT017565
Source: RNAcentral
UCUCCCAGUUUUCCCAACACCAGCGGCUCCAAACUACACCAUGUAGUCCCUAAGCAGUGCACAGCAAAAUCGGUCAAACCAGUGCCAGGCCCUGCCUUCUCACCUCAGCUUUAAGAUGCCCUCACAGGGACUGUCAAAAUUUGUGUCUCUUGAGAAAAUGGCUGCACCAAGGCCUCUCAUCAGGCUGAAGACAUCACAGUCCAGGGUGGCUCAUCUGCUUUUUUCUGAAGCAGGAGCUGCCCCCCAGGAGCUGUCCAUUGUGGGGGCAACUCCUCUCCUGCCUCACCCAGCAACUCCACAGAGAUGGCACCACAGCAAAGCUGCCUGCGCCCAGGAAGGACUUCUUAUCCUAACCCCUGGGCCCAGUUCUGAGAAAGGUAGUGCAUCUGAAAAAAGAAAAAAAAAAAACCCUACCAAUCCCAGAACAAAUAAAAAAAACAAAAGAAA